UUCUUCUAUUAAUGAUUAACUCAAAUACUAAUAUACCAAUCCACUCUUGAUCUGAGAACUAGGGCAUCUUCUCAUCCAAGUGAUGGCUCCCUCAAUUUUGAGCGAGAUCUUAUGGCAAUUCGGUGAAAAUAUAUAAUAGAAAAUCAAGAAAACACGAUGAUUGGUGGUAAUGGAGGAGGCUUCAACAGUGGAAUGCUUAGAGCGGGCAAUA
RNAcentral lists this long non-coding RNA (211 nucleotides) under Elaeis guineensis (African oil palm). Its description in RNAcentral is "long non-coding RNA (EGUI_LNC008012)". The record is from RNAcentral. Lineage: Eukaryota; Viridiplantae; Streptophyta; Magnoliopsida; Arecales; Arecaceae.